Long non-coding RNA from Rhinichthys klamathensis goyatoka, 159 nucleotides. RefSeq lists it as uncharacterized. NCBI's taxonomy places the organism in Eukaryota, Metazoa, Chordata, Actinopteri, Cypriniformes, Leuciscidae. The record is from RefSeq and is a predicted model, not a curated record. The transcript has 3 exons.
AGUGACUCUUCUCCUGUUCAUAAGUCAAGAAAAUCACGUAGAUGUCCAGAAUGCUUGAAACCCCUUUUAUUAAAUGGGUCUUGCCAGUUAACAGGAAUCAUUGACUUGAUGUAAAUGUUCCACAUGUUUUACUGAGACAGUACACAGCCAUAAUAUUUG